Molecule: transfer RNA, 72 nt
Filed under: Bos taurus (domestic cattle)
Lineage: Eukaryota; Metazoa; Chordata; Mammalia; Artiodactyla; Bovidae
Also listed under: 4 other names
Rfam family: tRNA
About the family: Transfer RNA (tRNA) molecules are approximately 80 nucleotides in length.
Source: Rfam by way of RNAcentral
UCUCUGGUGGCUCAGAUGGUAAAGAAUCUGCCUGCAGUGCAGGAGACCCAGGUUUGAUCCCUGGGUUGAGAA